UCCGGUUUGUCACCGGCAGUCACGCCAGAGUGCCCGGCUUUACCCGUUGGCAACUGGCAUCGAGGGUUGCGCUCGUUGCGGGACUUAACCCAACAUCUCACGACACGAGCUGACGACAGCCAUGCACCACCUGUCUCCUGGUUCCUUGCGGCACCCCUCCCUUUCAGGAGGGUUCCAGGGAUGUCAAGCCUUGGUAAGGUUCUUCGCGUUGCAUCGAAUUAAACCACAUGCUCCACCGCUUGUGCGGGCCCCCGUCAAUUCCUUUGAGUUUCAGUCUUGCGACCGUACUCCCCAGGCGGGAUACUUAACGCGUUAGCUACGGCACUGGGGGAGUCGAUACCCCCAACACCUAGUAUCCAUCGUUUACGGCUCGGACUAC
This 379-nucleotide unclassified non-coding RNA is filed under the name uncultured cyanobacterium. Its description in RNAcentral is "contains 16S-23S intergenic spacer region". Lineage: Bacteria; Bacillati; Cyanobacteriota. The record is from RNAcentral.